GUGUCAGCCGCCGCGGUAAGACGGAGGGUGCUAGCGUUGUUCGGAAUUACUGGGCGUAAAGGGCGCGUAGGCGGCUCUGUAAGUCGGGUGUGAAAGCCCGGGGCUCAACCCCGGAACGGCACCCGAGACUGCGGAGCUCGAGACCGGAAGAGGUGAGUGGAAUACCCAGUGUAGAGGUGAAAUUCGUAGAUAUUGGGUGGAACACCGGUGGCGAAAGCGGCUCACUGGUCCGGUUCUGACGCUGAGGCGCGAAAGCGUGGGGAGCAAACAGGAUUAGAAACCCGAGUAGUCC
This 292-nucleotide ribosomal RNA is filed under the name uncultured bacterium. Its description in RNAcentral is "partial 16S ribosomal RNA". It matches the Rfam family "Bacterial small subunit ribosomal RNA", at positions 505 to 796 of the family's 1533-position model. The record is from RNAcentral.